RNAcentral lists this small nucleolar RNA (96 nucleotides) under Pomacea canaliculata. RNAcentral's name for it is "small nucleolar RNA SNORD14". It matches the Rfam family "Small nucleolar RNA SNORD14". Rfam says of the family: U14 small nucleolar RNA (U14 snoRNA) is required for early cleavages of eukaryotic precursor rRNAs. In yeasts, this molecule possess a stem-loop region (known as the Y-domain) which is essential for function. Lineage: Eukaryota; Metazoa; Mollusca; Gastropoda; Architaenioglossa; Ampullariidae. The record is from Rfam by way of RNAcentral.
UGAUGGUGAUGAAUAUUUCCAUUUCAUUCGCGGUUUCCACCAGAGAAGCUCUUGUUUCGAAGAUGGGUCAUUGUCCUUCCUUGGAUGUCUGAAUCA